UCAAAGCUCCCAUGACCUCUCAGAGAAAAUGCGGGAAGUUUCCCAGGGCUCUGUCCUCUUCAGACUUUAGGAGUUCUCUGAGUAAGUAACCUAAAAUUAACUGACAGCCUUUGACUUAACAUGGAAACAGCCCAUCUGAGAACAAAGUCAACAUGGAAUAAACCUGAUCUGGAAGAUACUAAGAGCUGAAGAGGCAGAGAUCUGAUAACAUCAGGCCCGGGAUCCAGCCAUACCUGAAGAUGAGCGACAACUCCAGAGAAGGGAAUGUGGGAGGACUUUCUAGAAGGAGAAGACAGCUUGGCCAAAGGUUCAGAGGUGCCGACGUGAGGGUCUGCUUGAGAAAAAGUGGUGGAUGCAGGAAAACGGCUUCAUCUGGGCACUCAGCGCAUUGCAGAAACAGCAAAGUAUUGCAGCAUUGAAGGAAAAACUGGCUGUGUUGGACCCAUGAGAUGGAGUCUGUGAUCCCUCAGAACUUUUCCGAGCUGCUUUGGACUCUGCAAUGAUUUCCUUUCACCCUGGUUGGAGAAUGCCGCCGGUCUCAGAAAAUGCUACUCACCCCCCGCCCCACCCCCCACUCCGGCAAAAUUCUUUUCUCCUCUCUUUGUCUCUGGUAUCUUGUCUCCUUCAUCCGCCCACCUGCUCUCUUUCAUUGUCUUCCGGAAGGCUUGGGCUCCUAAGCUCAAGCGGGCAGAACCCGCUGCAGGUCUGGACUGCUCUGGGUGCUCCAUCCCCCAAGUCUUCCUCAAAGGGGUGGAAGUGGCUUCUCCUGGCAAAGUGCCCUUCUCCAGUCCACACGCCAGGGCUCCCAUUUGUUAUUGAGGAAGUAGUGGCCUACUCCACUUUUGAACUUGAGCCUCUAUAUCUUUUGCCAGGUAAUAAACACAGUGGCUCAAUAAAUGCUGAGAGUCGAAAUAGGGGAGAAAAGGGGAAAUGGAUGUGUGUGAGUGGAGUAAAAGAAAGCAGGCCUAAUUUUGUUCAUUGCCAUCUCCCCAGUGUAUACAAGAGGCUGAGUAGGUGCUCAAUCCAGUUACCCAAGAAAUGAGCCCAGAUUAACCUUCUCUUUGGGUGAAUGGGGAAACUGAAUCUUGGGGCUCCUUGGCUUUUCAGUCCUUUUUCC
This is a long non-coding RNA of Cervus elaphus (red deer), 1117 nucleotides long. RefSeq lists it as uncharacterized. The record is from RefSeq and is a predicted model, not a curated record. Lineage: Eukaryota; Metazoa; Chordata; Mammalia; Artiodactyla; Cervidae. The transcript has 3 exons.